UGGUACCUUUUAUAAGGCUGAUUAGUCUUAAAAUAUGCUCAGUGGAAACAAAAAGCAUAAAAUGAGGUCUGAGAGGUUUUUACUCUUUUCAUUGAAACUGCUGCAUUUCUUUCAGUAAGUCACAGGUACUGACUUUUCAAUCAAGUAUUUUUUUGGAGAACAGUUGUUUUUGCCAGCACAGCCUGUAAAUUAUUUCAGAAGUGCAAGCUAAUUCAGCUUUCCCGAGUGUCUCUGAAUAGGCUAACCUAAGGCUUCUGGAGACAGAACUGCGAAGCUCCCCCCCAGCCCCCAGAGGAAGAGGACAGGAAAGAUACUUCACUCCGCGGGAUAUCUCCAGGGCAGUCAUUGUAAGAGAAUAAAACAGCAAAUGAUCAGGUAAGGCAACUUGUUUUUUUCCUUGCAGUGGCAAUUUCUGAAUGCAAACCCAGAGGAAGACCUCCUCUUCACAGUUCCUGAUUCCUCAGCUAGAACCUCACUAAGGUUAUUUCCUGAUGAUUCCUUGGACUUUCUUUGUCAUUUCCUGAGUCAUGCAUCCCUUCCUUUUACUGCAGUGGCUGUUCUAUAACAGUAUCUGGCGCUACAAGCAUGUAGUGAACCAAGCACCCAUAUUUGUAUCCAAAGUCCUGGAUAGUCUGUACAGCCUGUCCUUAAUCUGUUUUUUACCUCCCUGGCUUCACUCUCCCAUUCAUGAAAGCUAGGACAUAAUGUUGAUAUGAAGAAAUAAACUUAUUAAAAGCAUUAGAAGGCAUAUGCCUUCAAUGAAAAAUAAGGGUCAAAAGUAGAAC
Molecule: long non-coding RNA, 785 nt
Organism: Motacilla alba alba
Lineage: Eukaryota; Metazoa; Chordata; Aves; Passeriformes; Motacillidae
Exons: 3
Source: RefSeq, a predicted model, not a curated record